RNAcentral lists this ribosomal RNA (254 nucleotides) under uncultured bacterium. RNAcentral's name for it is "partial 16S ribosomal RNA". It matches the Rfam family "Bacterial small subunit ribosomal RNA", at positions 524 to 776 of the family's 1533-position model. The record is from RNAcentral.
GACAGAGGCCCCAAGCGUUAGGCGGAAUCACUGGGCUUAAAGCGUGUGUAGGCGGACGCCUAAGUGUCUUGUGAAAUCCCACGGCUCACCCGUGGAACUGCUGGGCAUACUGGGCGUCUUGGGCCAACUAGGGGCAGCCGGAACAAGCGGUGGAGCGGUGAAAUGCGUAGAUAUCGCUUGGAACGCCGAAGGUGAAAACAGGCUGCUGGGGUUGUGCCGACGCUGGAGACACGAAAGCCAGGGGAGCAAACGGG